RNAcentral lists this ribosomal RNA (407 nucleotides) under uncultured microorganism. RNAcentral's name for it is "bacterial SSU rRNA". It matches the Rfam family "Bacterial small subunit ribosomal RNA", at positions 9 to 413 of the family's 1533-position model. The record is from RNAcentral.
GAGUUUGAUCGUGGCUCAGAUUGAGCGCUGGCGGCAUGCCUACACAUGCAAGUCGAACGGCAGCAUGAUCUAGCUUGCUAGAUUGAUGGCGAGUGGCGAACGGGUGAGUAAUACAUCGGAACGUGCCCUGUAGUGGGGGAUAACUAGUCGAAAGAUUAGCUAAUACCGCAUACGACCUGAGGGUGAAAGUGGGGGACCGCAAGGCCUCAUGCUAUAGGAGCGGCCGAUGUCUGAUUAGCUAGUUGGUGGGGUAAAGGCCCACCAAGGCGACGAUCAGUAGCUGGUCUGAGAGGACGAUCAGCCACACUGGGACUGAGACACGGCCCAGACUCCUACGGGAGGCAGCAGUGGGGAAUUUUGGACAAUGGGCGAAAGCCUGAUCCAGCAAUGCCGCGUGUGUGAAGAGG